UCUAUGAGGGAGAUCUAGACUCAGAGAACAACAAUUAGAGCUGGCACAUCAGGUAUUUAGUGGGAAUCUGACCUACAAUAGCUUUUACAAAUGAUUACGAUUUCAUCAUCUUCUGAUCUGUCUUUUGGGAGCAUAUGGGAACUUGAAUUGAAAUAGAUGGGAUAGGUCCCAAUGCUUCAAGACACCUUUGAGUUUUCAAUGGGAUUUAGUUGAGAUUAGACUCAAUAUACCUCCUCGACUUGUCCGAGAUUUAAUUUAGGAUAUUUUGGGACGUUAUUAGGAAAAACUCUCUUCUACAGAAACACUACCUUUUGUAACAAUUGCUAAUUCUACAGAGUUUGCCUCUUUCUUUCCACUUCUCCUUCCAGUCACCUUUUGUACAUACACAAAUCUAGGUUCUCUGAAUGUCAAGUUGACUGAAGGUUCGGUGUAAACUUAACUGUCAAAGCAACAAGCAUUCUAAUGUCGAGAUGUUCAAAAGGCAUGACUAGUUGUACUCUCAAAUUGUCAUUUAGUUGCCUUUUCGCAGGUUCUCAAGUAUAGACUAUUGCUUCAGACAGACUAUACGUAUAUUACGUAGGAUUGAAUCUCUGAGUAGCUUUUCUUGCUCUGUAUAUAGACAAACUCUUUGCUUUUGAGAAGUCUUUUCCCACGUGAUGAAGAAGAAAGAGAAGUACAAUUUGAUCAAAUUACUUCCAGAUUAAAAUGUGAAAUGAAUGAAUCAACUUUAAAUCUUUGAACAUCAAUAAAGCUAACCAGGAAAGCAAGUCUAUACCAGGGACGGUUUGCACUGCCAUGUGGAUUUUGGGUUUGUUUAGUGUAGCCUAUUAAGGCAAUCCAGAGAACCUCAAAGAAAUUAUGCAUCCUUGAGUCAAAGGUGGCUUGGGGAAGUUAACCUUUUCACUUUCUGGAAA
RNAcentral lists this long non-coding RNA (914 nucleotides) under Nicotiana benthamiana. Its description in RNAcentral is "long non-coding RNA (NBEN_LNC004446)". The record is from RNAcentral. Lineage: Eukaryota; Viridiplantae; Streptophyta; Magnoliopsida; Solanales; Solanaceae.